AAAUGACUUCCAAUCAUUAAGUUUUAGUUGCAACCCUAAAGAAGAGUA
Molecule: transfer RNA, 48 nt
Filed under: Malaclemys terrapin (diamondback terrapin)
Lineage: Eukaryota; Metazoa; Chordata; Testudines; Emydidae
Description: partial tRNA-Gly
Source: RNAcentral